CUGUAGGAAGCAUGUGAAGCUCAUUUAUGCCACAAAAAAUUCAUUAGUUUGUCGUUUCCUAUAAAAAGUUAAUUAGAAAACAGUUUUUUCCCAAUAAGUAAUUAAAUAAGACAAAUAACUACAGUUAACAUCAUGUUGCAUUUUCUACUUCACAAGGAUUAGACUUGACAUAGCGAUGGCCGAUGGUUGAAAAUGCAUCAAGAGUGCAUGUCUACUUUGUGAUCAUUCCUCAGAUGAGCAACAAGGAACAGGAUAUCCCCAACAACAGCAAACUCAGAUCCAGCAUACAAAGAACUUCAUGUUUGAGUUUACUGUAGUAUGGAAAAAUCUCUUGGCAUCAAAUUGACAUGUAUUUGCAAGACGUUUCAGGCAUUCUGCUAUUUUCUCCAAUGCUAGAAAUCUAAUAUCACCAAGUUCUUGUCUACAAGUGGGGCACCGGUUGUGCACCCUUGCUUUACAAGUUGAACAAAGAGUUUGCCCAUUGCGGCACUGAUAAAUCGGAGGGUACAUAGAAUUGUUGCAAACAGGGCAUUCGAGCAGUUCAUGGACACUGAUGGAUUGAGUUGCUGAGGAAACGCUACUACUGUUGUUGUAGGUGUUGUUGUUACUUUGAGGCUUUGGAACUGAAGGGAAUUGAAGGUGGUAGCGAUCGAUCACAUCCUCGUCCGUCAAAUCUGAGGAUGUCACACUUUCAAUGCUAAUCAGUUCGAUUUCUAUUCAUAAAAUUACCCCAAAAGAGGAAAGUAAUUUUCCAAAUCUAAGGUUUAUUCUCUGCUGGUUACUCACAAUUCUUAGGAAUGGCAACAGCACUGGUCGGGGCGGGAAUCCCUCCUCCCAUUCCCACCCCCGCAGGAGUUUAGGAUCCGAGCGGG
RNAcentral lists this unclassified non-coding RNA (872 nucleotides) under Hevea brasiliensis (rubber tree). The record is from RNAcentral. Lineage: Eukaryota; Viridiplantae; Streptophyta; Magnoliopsida; Malpighiales; Euphorbiaceae.